GAUGAACGCUGGCGGCGUGCCUAAUACAUGCAAGUCGAGCGAACAGAUAAGGAGCUUGCUCCUUUGACGUUAGCGGCGGACGGGUGAGUAACACGUGGGUAACCUACCUAUAAGACUGGGAUAACUUCGGGAAACCGGAGCUAAUACCGGAUAACAUUUGGAACCGCAUGGUUCUAAAGUGAAAGAUGGUUUUGCUAUCACUUAUAGAUGGACCCGCGCCGUAUUAGCUAGUUGGUAAGGUAACGGCUUACCAAGGCAACGAUACGUAGCCGACCUGAGAGGGUGAUCGGCCACACUGGAACUGAGACACGGUCCAGACUCCUACGGGAGGCAGCAGUAGGGAAUCUUCCGUAAUGGGCGAAAGCCUGACGGAGCAACGCCGCGUGAGUGAUGAAGGGUUUCGGCUCGUAAAACUCUGUUAUUAGGGAAGAACAAACGUGUAAGUAACUGUGCACGUCUUGACGGUACCUAAUCAGAAAGCCACGGCUAACUACGUG
This 497-nucleotide ribosomal RNA is filed under the name uncultured bacterium. RNAcentral describes it as "partial 16S ribosomal RNA". It matches the Rfam family "Bacterial small subunit ribosomal RNA", at positions 28 to 507 of the family's 1533-position model. The record is from RNAcentral.